Molecule: transfer RNA, 142 nt
Filed under: Anopheles farauti
Lineage: Eukaryota; Metazoa; Arthropoda; Insecta; Diptera; Culicidae
Description: tRNA tRNA-Tyr
Rfam family: tRNA
About the family: Transfer RNA (tRNA) molecules are approximately 80 nucleotides in length. Their secondary structure includes four short double-helical elements and three loops (D, anti-codon, and T loops). Further hydrogen bonds mediate the characteristic L-shaped molecular structure. tRNAs have two regions of fundamental functional importance: the anti-codon, which is responsible for specific mRNA codon recognition, and the 3' end, to which the tRNAs corresponding amino acid is attached (by aminoacyl-tRNA synthetases). tRNAs cope with the degeneracy of the genetic code in two manners: having more than one tRNA (with a specific anti-codon) for a particular amino acid; and 'wobble' base-pairing, i.e. permitting non-standard base-pairing at the 3rd anti-codon position.
Source: RNAcentral
CCUUCGAUAGCUCAGUUGGUAGAGCGGUGGACUGUAGAAAAUUUGAUAGGAGAUGGCUGAAGGAAAACCAUCCGGGAGAGGAGAGAUCACCUCCAAUCAAACAGAAAUCCAUAGGUCACUGGUUCAAAUCCGGUUCGAAGGA